Molecule: small nuclear RNA, 25 nt
Filed under: Arabidopsis thaliana (thale cress)
Lineage: Eukaryota; Viridiplantae; Streptophyta; Magnoliopsida; Brassicales; Brassicaceae
Description: snRNA_17228
Source: RNAcentral
UUCUGAUAUUUUCCGGUGAAAGAAA